UACGGAGGAUGCGAGCGUUAUCCGGAUUUAUUGGGUUUAAAGGGUGCGUAGGCGGGCUUUUAAGUCAGCGGUAAAAAUUCGGGGCUCAACCCCGUCCGGCCGUUGAAACUGGGGGCCUUGAGUGGGCGAGAAGAAGGCGGAAUGCGUGGUGUAGCGGUGAAAUGCAUAGAUAUCACGCAGAACCCCGAUUGCGAAGGCAGCCCUCCGGCGCCCUACUGACGCUGAGGCACGAAAGUGCGGGGAUCGAACAGG
RNAcentral lists this ribosomal RNA (252 nucleotides) under uncultured bacterium. Its description in RNAcentral is "partial 16S ribosomal RNA". It matches the Rfam family "Bacterial small subunit ribosomal RNA", at positions 524 to 776 of the family's 1533-position model. The record is from RNAcentral.